GACGAACCGUCCAAACGUUAUUCGGUAUCACUGGGUUUAAAGGGUGCGUAGGCGGCUUAAUAAGUUAGGUGUGAAAGACCUCGGCUCAACCGAGGAAUUGCGCUUAAAACUGUUAGGCUUGAGGAAGGUAGAGGUAAGCGGAACUUGCGGUGGAGCGGUGAAAUGCAUUGAUAUCGCAGGGAACACCAGUGGCGAAGGCGGCUUACUGGGCCUUUUCUGACGCUGAGGCACGAAAGCUAGGGUAGCGAACGGG
RNAcentral lists this ribosomal RNA (253 nucleotides) under uncultured bacterium. RNAcentral describes it as "partial 16S ribosomal RNA". It matches the Rfam family "Bacterial small subunit ribosomal RNA", at positions 524 to 776 of the family's 1533-position model. The record is from RNAcentral.